GAUGAACGCUGGCGGCGUGCCUAAUACAUGCAAGUCGAGCGAACGGACGAGAAGCUUGCUUCUCUGAUGUUAGCGGCGGACGGGUGAGUAACACGUGGAUAACCUACCUAUAAGACUGGGAUAACUUCGGGAAGCCGGAGCUAAUACCGGAUAAUAUUUUGAACCGCAUGGUUCACGAGUGAAAGACGGUCUUUCUGUCACUUAUAGCUGGAUCCGCGCUGCAUUAGCUAGUUGGUAAGGUAACGGCUUACCAAGGCAACGAUGCAUAGCCGACCUGAGAGCGAGGUCGGCCACACUGGAACUGAGGCAAGGCACAGACGCCUAGGGGAGGCAGCAGUAGCGAAUCGUCCGCAAGGGGCGAAAGCAUAAUGUAGCAACACGGCGGGAGUGAUGAAGGACUUAGGAUCGUAAAACGCUGAUAUUCGUGAAGAAGAUAUGUGCAAGUAACCGUGCAGAUAUUGACGGUACCUGGUGAGAAAGCCCCGGCUAACUACGUG
RNAcentral lists this ribosomal RNA (497 nucleotides) under uncultured bacterium. RNAcentral describes it as "partial 16S ribosomal RNA". It matches the Rfam family "Bacterial small subunit ribosomal RNA", at positions 28 to 507 of the family's 1533-position model. The record is from RNAcentral.